GCGCCCCCGCUCCCUCCCUCGCGCGCGCGGCCGAGAGUGAUGAGAGGCGGCGAGGAGGGAGGGCGAGACCGGGACGGGGCUGGGGCUGGCAGCGGCCGCAUCAUCGCGGAGCGACGCGAGCAGAGGGGCCGCCGCGGGAGAUUGAAGUGUCUGCGCCGCCGCUGGGGCCGCUGUGAGGCGCGGAGGGGGCGGUGCCGCCGCCGCUGCUGCUGCUGCUGCCGCCACCGCAGCUGUUGCGCGGGGGGAGGAGGAGGAGAAAAAGAGGAGGGGGCCGCCCGUCCCUCCGCUGGCCGGCUGCGCGCCCGGCCAGGGACUCGCCGCCCUGAGCGGGGAGAAGCGGGACCGCGAUCCCGCCGGAGCGGUGCCUGGGAGCUGCUGCCCGGCCCUGCGGAGGAGCCUAGAAGCCGCGGGGUUUAUGGAGCUGGAAGUCCAGGCUGCGGAGUAAAACUUGGCUGUUUCUCCCCGCGAUUCCCACAUGCAAGUUGAUAACGUGAGACCGGCUCCUUUUCUUAUCGCUGCUGCUACCUCGAGUGCCGGGGGCCAGCGCUCUGCCCCCCCCAGCCGCUGCUGUUUCCUUUACCCGGCCCCGGAGCUGCUCGGUGGGUUUCCCUUGCCAUGUGGGGCUAGGAGGGGUGCAGCCAUUCUCCACAGGGUGAAGCGGUAAACAUGGAGGCGGCGUGCAGAGCCGACGGCGGGGAGCAGAGCCAUCAAGGCGGCGGCGUGGACACCCCCGGGGACACUUCUAUGGACUGCUACCUGCGAUCUCAGGGCUUGUACAGAAAGAGAGUUGCCAAGGAUGGAUCUUGUCUUUUCAGGGCUGUGGCCGAGCAGGUAACUGCCUACCUAAACAAAGCUACCUCUCAUGAAAGCAUGGGAAGUGGAUCUCAUUAGCGGGUGAUAAUUGGUGGUAAAAUGCUGACAAGUACAGGUUAAGGUUGCCCAGUCUUGUGCCGGGGUGUGGGGGGAAUAAUUUCUGCCUUGCGACUAGGGAGAAGUUCUGUGUGUGCAGCCGUUUUCUGCCAUCAAGAAAUUGUUACCUGUUUUGACCUUCCACUCCCUCCUCAGAGCUUUCUUCAAUGUAAGAUUUCAACAUUUGGGUGCAACUGCUUCCGCAUGAGGCUCUUCAGGAAACGGAAUUUGGCGUAAAGAGCUGAAAAGCUUUGCUCUCAGUUUUGUUAAUUAGCUUAUGAUAAAAUUAGAGAAAGUAAUUUAUUUGCAGUUCUUCCUGUUGAAUUCCCCUCCCCCAUUUCAGUGUUACUGUUAAAGGAAAAAAGUGACAGCGUCAUCUUGUCUUAAACGCAAACAAACAGCAGUGGGAGCUCUGGUGCUUCUGAUUGUGGGAACCCAGAUUCCUAUGCUAAUUAUACACAGUUCGCUUUUUUUUUAACAUUACUUUCCUCACUGAAUUUCUAAGUUCAGGAAGCAGACGCUAUUGAUCUGAAGUGAGUGGUGUUAUUAUUUUAUUUCAAGGGAAUAAUGAAUAUACAUUGAUACUCUGGUGUUUUUAAUUAGCAUAUAAGGUUUCACCCACACUACAGUGUAUGUAGAACUUUUUUCAACUAUAAACUUUUAACAUCCGAUUUGUAUUUUAUUGAAGGGAAGGCCUUUAAUUCUGAGUUAUUAGGUGUUUAUCCACAAAUUUGGCCUAAUCUCCAUAUUCUUCAUGCAGGAAAAACUGCACUGGUCCGAAUUUGAAAGUGUUCUAAAUUCAGGGUAGUGUAUAAGGGUCGGAAGAGAGGCUGCAACUUGAAUUGACUGGAAUUUCCCUACGUUGUAGUGAGAGUGCAGAAAAAGUCAUGUUGGAGACAAUUGAACCUAUGAUGAAAGUAAUAUUUUUUUCCAGUAGAGGUUUGAGCAGGAGGUAGAAUGCACAUGUCGUGUUGGGAUCUGAAUUCCUGGCUUCCAAGUCAGUGUUUGGGCAACAGACAUACACAUCUUAAAGUCAGGAGAAAGUAAUCCUGCACUCACUUAGGUUUGGUUGGGUUUCAUUUGAACAAAUGCAUGUUGGUAGUUGAUUUCCUCAUCCACUCCUGCGGUAACUUCUUCAAUUAAUCAAAGUCCCUUACAAAGGAGUUGGUUAAAGAAUGACAACAAAUGCUAUUCAUUUUGCUCAGUAAAUCAUUAUAAAAUUGAACGUCUG
This is a long non-coding RNA of Strigops habroptila (Kakapo), 2140 nucleotides long. The record is from Ensembl. NCBI's taxonomy places the organism in Eukaryota, Metazoa, Chordata, Aves, Psittaciformes, Psittacidae.